AUAUAAACAGACUAAAUUGCAAAAACCAAAAACCACAACAAAGAGUAAAAAAAAAAAAAAGAAAUCUCCAACCCAAACCCUUCCUCCGCCGGCGUUUGUUUACAAAAAAAAAAAAAAAAAGAAGUUCAAAUUGAAGAAUGCCUCUAUUUUCUUCAAGAGCUAUGUUCAGGAACUACGACAAGCAUAGAAAGCAAAACAGUGACCCUAAAGGCAAAUUGUCCGACGUGUUCAGGAGCUAUGCUGAUUCUAAUGGGGAGCUAAACAAGGAAAAGCUGAAAGACGCUUUUCUACAUCUGGAUGCUGCCAUGCCGUACCGGCAAGCCGAAGAAGCCCUCCGUGUCGUCGGCAAAAGCUAUUACAUUAACAUCAAGGAUGAAGCCGACCUUAACACCCUUGUCGACUAUGCUUACAAUAAGGGUUACGGGUAUUCAAUUUGAUUAGCUAAUUUAUAAGCUUAUUUUCUUUUUCUUUUUCACUUUUAAUCAUCUAAUAUGUUUUUUUAAAUAUAUGUAAGUUUCGUCCCAAAAGACAUUAUUACAGAAUAAAGGUUUCGGGGCUUAUGAUUGUGAUGUAGUUUUUGCAUGUACUUUGCAAAGACUACAUUAUAUAUAUGUUUGUGUGGCAAUGAACAUGAUGAUGUUCUUUAUCAAUUAUAAUAAUAUGUGUUGAAUGUUAUUAUUAUGUUAUUAAA
Gossypium arboreum is the source of this 691-nucleotide long non-coding RNA. RefSeq lists it as uncharacterized. The record is from RefSeq and is a predicted model, not a curated record. NCBI's taxonomy places the organism in Eukaryota, Viridiplantae, Streptophyta, Magnoliopsida, Malvales, Malvaceae. The transcript has a single exon.